Long non-coding RNA from Mastomys coucha (southern multimammate mouse), 943 nucleotides. RefSeq lists it as uncharacterized. The record is from RefSeq and is a predicted model, not a curated record. Lineage: Eukaryota; Metazoa; Chordata; Mammalia; Rodentia; Muridae. The transcript is spliced from 2 exons.
UGGACUGCUGGAUAGAAAUCUGGGGGUGAAGACCUGAGGAAUAUCGACUUCAAAAUAAUCUAAAAUGUGACUCAGCAGGUAACACACUUGCUGUGCGAGGACCAGAGCUCAGCUUCCCAGAAACCACAACAGGAAAGCAGAUUUUUGUACUUAGGGGAGGAGAAAAAAAGAAAGAAAGAAACCCUUCCAGACACACACGUUGGAAAAAUACAAACAAAUUCAAGUUUAAACGGCUCCCUAUGCUUGGGGUGUUGCUGGUGCCACCGAAAUGACAAACUUGUAGAUUGCAUAAUCUGGAACUUCAGCUAAAUACCAGAAAAGACACAUGGAAGAGAGGUUGUGACGGGAGAUUUAUUAGUAUGUGCCUGGACAUAAUUGUACCUUUACCUCAUCUAGCCAAAGCAAACUUUGGGUCCAGUGUCUAGAUAGACAACUCUAAAUCCUGCUGAAUUGAUCAGCUGCCAUCUCAGUCUCAAGUCCCGGGUGCUGGAAUUCUGAAAACAUAUUUCAGAGCAUAAUUGACAGUAAAGGGAGUGGAGUGGGUACUUCCUCUCUGAGUGGCCCCGUUAUCCGUGGUGCUCCGGAUACCUGCCCCCAGCAAGCCUCAGACUCCUAAAGGGCAGAUUCCAUUAUCUGAGAGAUUCUAAGGACAAAGCUGAGACACAAAAGGCAAGCCAUGUCUUUCCCUGAUUAUCACCAAGUCCCCUGUGGAGCCCCAAACAGGAUCAGACUCAUUCUUCUCAAAAGACCGCACUCACUUUACAGUGCAAAGACAUAUGAUUUUUGAAUGCAUUUUUCCGUGGCAGAGAACUGAGGAGCUUGGAACCCAUGUAUACAGCUGAGUAACUGUCUGAACAGUAGAAACUAGGAAGCUCACCAUCUGGGUUCUGUGAUGCUUCCGAACAAGCAACGGGAACAAAUAAAAAUCUGAUAAUUCAUAUUU